GGAUGUAGCUUAGUUGGUUAAAGCGUCGGAUUGUGGUCCCGAAGACCGUGGGUUCGAAUCCCAUCUUC
This 68-nucleotide transfer RNA is filed under the name pig gut metagenome. It matches the Rfam family "tRNA". From Rfam's summary of the family: Transfer RNA (tRNA) molecules are approximately 80 nucleotides in length. Their secondary structure includes four short double-helical elements and three loops (D, anti-codon, and T loops). The record is from RNAcentral.